RNAcentral lists this ribosomal RNA (645 nucleotides) under uncultured bacterium. RNAcentral describes it as "bacterial SSU rRNA". It matches the Rfam family "Bacterial small subunit ribosomal RNA", at positions 201 to 842 of the family's 1533-position model. The record is from RNAcentral.
CAAAGGGGGCGACCCCGGUCAUGGAUGGGCAUGCGGCGCAUUAGGUAGUUGGUGGGGCAACGGCCCACCAAGCCGACGAUGCGUAGGGGUUCUGAGAGGAAGGUCCCCCACAUUGGAACUGAGACACGGUCCAAACUCCUACGGGAGGCAGCAGCGAGGAAUAUUGGUCAAUGGCCGGAAGGCUGAACCAGCCAAGUCGCGUGAGGGAAUAAGGCCCUACGGGUCGUAAACCUCUUUUGCCAGGGAGCAAUGCCGUCCACGUGUGGACGGAAGGAGAGUACCUGGAGAAAAAGCAUCGGCUAACUCCGUGCCAGCAGCCGCGGUAAUACGGAGGAUGCGAGCGUUAUCCGGAUUUAUUGGGUUUAAAGGGUGCGUAGGCGGCCUGCCAAGUCAGCGGUAAAAUUGCGGGGCUCAACCCCGUACAGCCGUUGAAACUGCCGGGCUCGAGUGGGCGAGAAGUAUGCGGAAUGCGUGGUGUAGCGGUGAAAUGCAUAGAUAUCACGCAGAACCCCGAUUGCGAAGGCAGCAUACCGGCGCCCGACUGACGCUGAGGCACGAAAGUGCGGGGAUCAAACAGGAUUAGAUACCCUGGUAGUCCGCACAGUAAACGAUGAAUGCUAGCUGUCCGGGGGGAUUGACCCCUGG